GCUCGUGUAGCUCAGUCGGCAGAGCACUAGCAUGGUAAGCUAGAGGUCACCAGUUCAAUCCUGGUCGCGAGCU
Molecule: transfer RNA, 73 nt
Filed under: Candidatus Rifleibacteriota bacterium
Lineage: Bacteria; Candidatus Rifleibacteriota
Also listed under: 1 other name
Description: tRNA-Thr
Rfam family: tRNA
About the family: Transfer RNA (tRNA) molecules are approximately 80 nucleotides in length. Their secondary structure includes four short double-helical elements and three loops (D, anti-codon, and T loops).
Source: RNAcentral